GCUACAACGCUAAAGCAUUCAGCUUACACCUGAAAGAUAUCUGCCAAUCACCAGAUCGUCUUGAAACCUGACUC
Molecule: transfer RNA, 74 nt
Filed under: Nyctibius grandis
Lineage: Eukaryota; Metazoa; Chordata; Aves; Nyctibiiformes; Nyctibiidae
Description: tRNA-Val
Source: RNAcentral